This 442-nucleotide ribosomal RNA is filed under the name uncultured bacterium. Its description in RNAcentral is "partial 16S ribosomal RNA". It matches the Rfam family "Bacterial small subunit ribosomal RNA", at positions 338 to 795 of the family's 1533-position model. The record is from RNAcentral.
CCUACGGGAGGCUGCAGUGGGGAAUAUUGGGCAAUGGGCGCAAGCCUGACCCAGCAACGCCGCGUGAAGGAAGAAGGCUUUCGGGUUGUAAACUUCUUUUAAGAGGGAAGAGCAGAAGACAGUACCUCUUGAAUAAGCCACGGCUAACUACGUGCCAGCAGCGGCGGUAAUACGUAGGUGGCAAGCGUUGUCCGGAUUUACUGGGGGUAAAGGGCGUGCAGCCGGGAAGACAAGUCAGAUGUUAAAUCCCGCGGCUCAACCGCGGAACUGCAUUUGAAACUGUUUUUCUUGAGUACCGGAGAGGUCAUCGGAAUUCCUUGUGUAGCGGUGAAAUGCGUAGAUAUAAGGAAGAACACCAGUGGCGAAGGCGGAUGACUGGACGGCAACUGACGGUGAGGCGCGAAAGCGUGGGGAGCAAACAGGAUUAGAUACCCUUGUAGUC